GGCGCAGCUCAUCAAACUGUGCCGAUUACGUCCCUGCCAUUUGUACACACCGCCCGUCGUUGUUUCCGAUGAUGGUGCAAUACAGGUGAUCGGACCGUCGCGUGUCUCACGUGACCGAAAGUUCACCGAUAUUGCUUCAAUAGAGGAAGCAAAAGUCGUAACAAGGUAGCUGUAGGUGAACCUGCAGCUGGAUCAUUU
Trypanosoma congolense IL3000 is the source of this 198-nucleotide ribosomal RNA. It matches the Rfam family "Eukaryotic small subunit ribosomal RNA", at positions 1620 to 1831 of the family's 1831-position model. The record is from Rfam. NCBI's taxonomy places the organism in Eukaryota, Euglenozoa, Kinetoplastea, Trypanosomatida, Trypanosomatidae.